GGGACACGUGGUAUCCUGUCUGAAUAUGGGGGGACCAUCCUCCAAGGCUAAAUACUCCUGACUGACCGAUAGUGAACCAGUACCGUGAGGGAAAGGCGAAAAGAACCCCGGCGAGGGGAGUGAAAAAGAACCUGAAACCGUGUACGUACAAGCAGUGGGAGCCUCUUAAUGGGGUGACUGCGUACCUUUUGUAUAAUGGGUCAGCGACUUAUAUUCUGUAGCAAGGUUAACCGAAUAGGGGAGCCGAAGGGAAACCGAGUCUUAACUGGGCGUUAAGUUGCAGGGUAUAGACCCGAAACCCGGUGAUCUAGCCAUGGGCAGGUUGAAGGUUGGGUAACACUAACUGGAGGACCGAACCGACUAAUGUUGAAAAAUUAGCGGAUGACUUGUGGCUGGGGGUGAAAGGCCAAUCAAACCGGGAGAUAGCUGGUUCUCCCCGAAAGCUAUUUAGGUAGCGCCUCGUGAAUUCAUCUCCGGGGGUAGAGCACUGUUUCGGCAAGGGGGUCAUCCCGACUUACCAACCCGAUGCAAACUGCGAAUACCGGAGAAUGUUAUCACGGGAGACACACGGCGGGUGCUAACGUCCGUCGUGAAGAGGGAAACAACCCAGACCGCCAGCUAAGGUCCCAAAGUCAUGGUUAAGUGGGAAACGAUGUGGGAAGGCCCAGACAGCCAGGAUGUUGGCUUAGAAGCAGCCAUCAUUUAAAGAAAGCGUAAUAGCUCACUGGUCGAGUCGGCCUGCGCGGAAGAUGUAACGGGGCUAAACCAUGCACCGAAGCUGCGGCAGCGACACUGUGUGUUGUUGGGUAGGGGAGCGUUCUGUAAGCCUGCGAAGGUGUGCUGUGAGGCAUGCUGGAGGUAUCAGAAGUGCGAAUGCUGACAUAAGUAACGAUAAAGCGGGUGAAAAGCCCGCUCGCCGGAAGACCAAGGGUUCCUGUCCAACGUUAAUCGGGGCAGGGUGAGUCGACCCCUAAGGCGAGGCCGAAAGGCGUAGUCGAUGGGAAACAGGUUAAUAUUCCUGUACUUGGUGUUACUGCGAAGGGGGGACGGAGAAGGCUAUGUUGGCCGGGCGACGGUUGUCCCGGUUUAAGCGUGUAGGCUGGUUUUCCAGGCAAAUCCGGAAAACCAAGGCUGAGGCGUGAUGACGAGGCACUACGGUGCUGAAGCGACAAAUGCCCUGCUUCCAGGAAAAGCCUCUAAGCAUCAGGUAACAUCAAAUCGUACCCCAAACCGACACAGGUGGUCAGGUAGAGAAUACCAAGGCGCUUGAGAGAACUCGGGUGAAGGAACUAGGCAAAAUGGUGCCGUAACUUCGGGAGAAGGCACGCUGAUAUGUAGGUGAAGCGACUUGCUCGUGGAGCUGAAAUCAGUCGAAGAUACCAGCUGGCUGCAACUGUUUAUUAAAAACACAGCACUGUGCAAACACGAAAGUGGACGUAUACGGUGUGACGCCUGCCCGGUGCCGGAAGGUUAAUUGAUGGGGUUAGCGGCAACGCGAAGCUCUUGAUCGAAGCCCCGGUAAACGGCGGCCGUAACUAUAACGGUCCUAAGGUAGCGAAAUUCCUUGUCGGGUAAGUUCCGACCUGCACGAAUGGCGUAAUGAUGGCCAGGCUGUCUCCACCCGAGACUCAGUGAAAUUGAACUCGCUGUGAAGAUGCAGUGUACCCGCGGCAAGACGGAAAGACCCCGUGAACCUUUACUAUAGCUUGACACUGAACAUUGAGCCUUGAUGUGUAGGAUAGGUGGGAGGCUUUGAAGUGUGGACGCCAGUCUGCAUGGAGCCGACCUUGAAAUACCACCCUUUAAUGUUUGAUGUUCUAACGUUGGCCCCUAAUCGGGGUUGCGGACAGUGUCUGGUGGGUAGUUUGACUGGGGCGGUCUCCUCCUAAAGAGUAACGGAGGAGCACGAAGGUUGGCUAAUCCUGGUCGGACAUCAGGAGGUUAGUGCAAUGGCAUAAGCCAGCUUGACUGCGAGCGUGACGGCGCGAGCAGGUGCGAAAGCAGGUCAUAGUGAUCCGGUGGUUCUGAAUGGAAGGGCCAUCGCUCAACGGAUAAAAGGUACUCCGGGGAUAACAGGCUGAUACCGCCCAAGAGUUCAUAUCGACGGCGGUGUUUGGCACCUCGAUGUCGGCUCAUCACAUCCUGGGGCUGAAGUAGGUCCCAAGGGUAUGGCUGUUCGCCAUUUAAAGUGGUACGCGAGCUGGGUUUAGAACGUCGUGAGACAGUUCGGUCCCUAUCUGCCGUGGGCGCUGGAGAACUGAGGGGGGCUGCUCCUAGUACGAGAGGACCGGAGUGGACGCAUCACUGGUGUUCGGGUUGUCAUGCCAAUGGCACUGCCCGGUAGCUAAAUGCGGAAGAGAUAAGUGCUGAAAGCAUCUAAGCACGAAACUUGCCCCGAGAUGAGUUCUCCCUGAGACUUAGAGUCUCCUGAAGGAACGUUGAAGACGACGACGUUGA
This 2457-nucleotide ribosomal RNA is filed under the name Escherichia coli. Its description in RNAcentral is "partial 23S ribosomal RNA". It matches the Rfam family "Bacterial large subunit ribosomal RNA", at positions 419 to 2856 of the family's 2925-position model. The record is from RNAcentral. Lineage: Bacteria; Pseudomonadati; Pseudomonadota; Gammaproteobacteria; Enterobacterales; Enterobacteriaceae.